Long non-coding RNA from Oncorhynchus tshawytscha (Chinook salmon), 1314 nucleotides. The record is from Ensembl. Lineage: Eukaryota; Metazoa; Chordata; Actinopteri; Salmoniformes; Salmonidae.
UAUGUGUAUAGGCACAUCCCCUUUCAUGUUCAUGUGUGUAUGCAUGUGUGCCCCCCCCCACCUCAUCCUUGGUCCCAACCCUGCUGACAGACAGACACUAAUACUUAGCCAUCGGCCCUUUUACCAGUAGGCUCCCCUAGGUAUAUAAAGGUGGCCAUUAUGACCAUAAAAUAGUUCUUUUAUAGUAUUUGAGAGCUACAAUGACUACAGACUCUUAAAAAUGUACUUUAUAAUUAUCUUUAUUGAUCCCUUGGAUCCUGCAACAAUAAUCACUAGGGAACCAAUUUAUAUUUAACAAAAUAUCCCAAUUUCUUUUCUUCUCUUUGGGCUACCAUGACCAUGGAACCUGGACCAAUAGGAAACAACUAAACCUAUAAACAAAAUAAUACAAAUAAAAAAUUAAUACAUAUGUACAUAAAUAUAUAUAUUAUUUUAUUUUCAAAGCCUCUUGAACUCAGGGUUACCAUGACCAUGGACCCUUGACCAAAAGAAACAAUAAAAUAGAACACAAAUAGACCAAAUUUAAACCAGACCCAUCGGCUCAACCCUCCCAGCCCCCUUACACACGGGAGACUCACGUAACGCGCUGGACCACUAUCUACCCCAGAUUAGAUCUGGAUUGGCAGUAGGUUCAGUAGCGCGUGUUUCCUCCUAGCGGGUUGGGAUACCCAAAAGAGGGGCUUUUGGGUUAUGCGCUGCGGCUGGAGGAUCGCGUCUGCCGAAUAACCCCUGGGGUGCCCAGAUAAUGUCUGGCGAGGUAUCGGACCCCACAGAAGAAUUUCCCACUGGGGGACCCCCUACCCCGCCGUACUUAGCCUGGACAACCGAACCAUUUUUUUUACCUGGACUACGAACCAAUUCACUGUCUAGGGAUGAUAUACCUCUGGAAACGUUACGAUCCUGGAAGGGAGUAAUUCCACUGGUCACUAUUACCCAAAACCACUGAAUUACCUACCACUGAGAUGGUGGGGAUGGAAACACCCAAUUAACUUCUACUACUGCCGGACGUUUCAUACGUAAGCCAGAGAAGGUUUGCCGGUUUCUAAACCCUCCAUACACCGACCAAAAACACAGGACGUGACUCCAGGGGCGGAUGCAUGACAACCGUAUAGAGGGCUCGCCUUCUGGGUUUUUGUCUGCUCAAACCACUGGCUGUUAUAGACUGACCACUUGACAGGGACACAUGGCAACCGACUGAGGACCGGACCUGCACAAGGUACGCAACUCAAGGUCUUUGCCUGAUCCUAAGUUGAGUUGACAGACCUACCUAAACUUAACCUUUUCUAUACCUUACCCUAACCCUAACCCUAACCC